RNAcentral lists this ribosomal RNA (590 nucleotides) under Carabus lusitanicus breuningi. Its description in RNAcentral is "partial large subunit ribosomal RNA". It matches the Rfam family "Bacterial large subunit ribosomal RNA", at positions 1921 to 2748 of the family's 2925-position model. Lineage: Eukaryota; Metazoa; Arthropoda; Insecta; Coleoptera; Carabidae. The record is from RNAcentral.
UUUUAAAUGGCCGCAGUAUUUUGACUGUGCAAAGGUAGCAUAAUCAUUAGUUUUUUAAUUAAAAGCUUGUAUGAAAGGCUGGACGAGGUAAAAUCUGUCUCUAUUUAAAUUAUAGUAGAAUUUAACUUUUAAGUUAAAAGGCUUAAAUAUUAUUAAAAGACGAGAAGACCCUAUAGAUCUUUAUAGUUUAUUAAAUUAAAUUAAUUUAGAAAUAUUAAUGUUUUAUUUAAUUAAAUUAUUUUAUUGGGGUAAUAAAAAGAUUGAAUUAAUUCUUUUUUACGAUAAACAUUAAUUUAUGAAUAUUAAUGAUCCAGUUUUACUGAUUAUAAGAUUAAGUUACCUUAGGGAUAACAGCGUAAUUUUUUUAGAGAGUUCAUAUCGAUAAAAAAGUUUGCGACCUCGAUGUUGGAUUAAAGAUUAUUUUAGGUGUAGAAGCUUAAUAAUUUUGGUCUGUUCGACCAUUAAAUCUUUACAUGAUCUGAGUUCAGACCGGCGUAAGCCAGGUCGGUUUCUAUCUUUAAUAAAAUAAAAUAUUUUAGUACGAAAGGACCAAAUAUUUGAUAUAUUUAUAUUUAAUUUAUUGAAUAUUA